UACGGGGGGGGCAAGCGUUGUUCGGAAUUACUGGGCGUAAAGCGCGUGUAGGCGGCUAGGUAAGUCUGCUCUGAAAGCCCGGGGCUCAACCCCGGGAGGCGGGUGGAUACUGUCUAGCUCGAGUCCGGAAGAGGAGUGUGGAAUUCCUGGUGUAGCGGUGAAAUGCGCAGAUAUCAGGGGGAACACCAAUGGCGAAGGCAGCACUCUGGGACGUGACUGACGCUGAGACGCGAAAGCGUGGGGAGCAAACAGG
Molecule: ribosomal RNA, 253 nt
Filed under: uncultured bacterium
Lineage: Bacteria
Description: partial 16S ribosomal RNA
Rfam family: Bacterial small subunit ribosomal RNA
Source: RNAcentral